GAUGGGAGAUUCAGAGACAGACUGAAGCUGAACAAUCAAACUGGAUCUCUGACCAUCAUAAACACCACAACUCAACAUGCUGGACUUUAUCAACUAGAGAUCAAUCAUGUCAGGAUGUUUUUCCUUCUCAACAUCUUUGGUAAAGUGAAGUCAGAGUCAGUAUUUGAGGGAGAUUCAGUCACUCUGAACUCUGAUCUUACUGGAAUAAUGGAUGAUGAUGUGAUUCAAUGGAGGUUUGGAACUGAAAAUGUUUUAAUAGCUGAAAUCAACGUAGAGGCUGACAGCAUGACUGUAUAUGAUGAUGUUCUUGAUGGGAGAUUCAGAGAAGACUGAAGCUGGACAAACAAACUGGAUCUCUGACCAUCACAGACAUCACAACUCAACAUGCUGGAGUUUAUCAACGACAGACCAACCGUGUGAUAAAGAGUUUCAUUCUCACUGUCUACAACUCUGUCCACUGUUGUGAUUCUGUUGAAGCUGUGAUCCGAUUGGUCGUCACUGCUCUGGUGGGCGUGGCUGCUGCGGCUGCUGUCAUUGUUCUGGUUUAUGACAUCAGAGCCAGAAGAGCUGAAAUGGAUUUGUAAUUACACUUUUUUGACGUCUUUUUAUAUUCCUCUUCCUUAAAGACCGAAGCUUCAUCAGUGCUGAAUGGAGUCAGUUUGAAACGAGAACAAGAGACUGAAGGUUGUUAGUUUGAAUCUCAACAGUAAUGUUGAUGUCUCACAUAUCCACUCUAGAUGUUCUGUUCUAUUCUAUAAUAAACAUUUGAUAUCAUUACAGCAGUA
Molecule: long non-coding RNA, 785 nt
Organism: Cyprinus carpio (common carp)
Lineage: Eukaryota; Metazoa; Chordata; Actinopteri; Cypriniformes; Cyprinidae
Exons: 3
Source: RefSeq, a predicted model, not a curated record